RNAcentral lists this long non-coding RNA (2938 nucleotides) under Homo sapiens (human). RNAcentral describes it as "HSALNT0173757". The stretch from base 216 to 324 matches the Rfam family "WT1 antisense RNA conserved region 1". Lineage: Eukaryota; Metazoa; Chordata; Mammalia; Primates; Hominidae. The record is from RNAcentral.
CCUUACCCCAGCUGCCUGGCUGCCCUCAGCUUCCCAAAGCUCAAAUAAGAGGGGCCGGCGGCGCGGGGAAGAGGAGGAGCCAGGAGGCUCGGCCGCUCCAUUCACUCAGCAGCCCAAGCCCGGCCAGGCAGCGCGCGCUGCUCCUUGGGGGCGCCCUCGCAGCUGGGGUGAGGGCGGGUCCGAGGGAGCGUCCCUCUCGGAGACACCCUCCUCUUCAACCCAACACGCGCUCUCAGCUGGCCGGUGUGGCACAACCCUCCCCCCACCUCCCCUUCUUGGCCUUCGCCAGUGUGGGAGCCUCGUCUCACUGGAGAGUCCGUUCAGGCUCUGUCACUAUUUCCCAUUGGCCAAACGCUACUGGAAGUGGAAGGCUAAGAAGCCCGAUGGUGCAAUCCAUACACGUCAGCCUCUGGGGCCAGAGUGGGAUGAAAAAAGGCUCAUGAUGGAGCCCGAGUUAUAUGGCAGGAGAUGAUUUCCACGGUCUGUGAACACUGAAGAUGAGACUGGCUUGGGGCCACGUGCCAAACUGCACAGCCAGUAAGACCUGCUUCCAUCGACCCACAGCAGCUCUGACUUUUUUUUUUUAACAAUAGAGAAGAAACUACCACAGGGAAGAGAGAGAACAAUGGCAUUUUGACAAAUGGAACAAAGAUAGAGUGUGACUGACAAUUCAGGUCAGAAGGAAAAUUAAAGCACAGGAAGACUGAUGUUGGUCGGCCUCCUUGCCAAGAAGCAAAAACUCAGGGGGAGGCAUCCAGCCACAUGCGAACUGGCUCAACACUGGCCAUUUUGUUUGAGCAAUUUUGUUGGAUGUUUUCUACAAAAGAGCACUUUUUCUCGGACUUCAAACAUUCUUAUAUGCAGGAUCGACACCACACACUGCCAUCAUCCCCUGGAGUAGUAUCCUUGAGACCUGAGGAGGGGAAAACUGGAGGGACGUUGUGGGACUCCAUUGAGAAAUGUGGUCCUUUGUCUCCCUGGAGAUCUUUGAGGACGGUUCAGAUAAAGUUGCUGCCAGUGGAAGCAGCUAGGCUCAGAAACCUCCAGUUGCCCUUUCUAGACUUGUAAUCCUCUGAAAAAUGGAAAUUAGGAAGCGUUCAUUUAUGACCUUGAAAAAAAUCGUUUACAAAAGUAUAUUAUAUCACUAAAAUGAGCUGGAAAAAGGGUUUAUGUGAAAGUUCAUGUGAGAAACACAGCUAUUAGCACGCAUGCCAUUCCCCACCUUGACCUCAGCAGGAAUGUGUAAAUUGUAACAUAUGGAAUGUAAGCCCUGUCGAGAUGUUUCAUAAAUCUGCCUGGCAAUGAGCAUCACAAGGCCCUGCAUGAGAACAGGCCCCAGAAAUGGAGAGACAAAUAAAGAAACAUCAGAAAUAUUAAAAUGAGGACCAAAAGGAGUCCCAGAGAUGGGGUUUCACCGUGUUAGCCAGGAUAGUCUCAAUCUCCUGACCUCAUGAUCCGCCUGCCUUGGCCUCCCAAAGUGCUGGGAUUACAGGUGUGAGCCACCAUGCCCAGCCAAAUUUUCAAAUAAAUAAAUAAAUGUGUAGCAAAAGCAAAUGGGCUGGUUUGUUUUGGUUUGUGUGGUUUUUUUAAUGCCUGUAAUGAGAUUGGGCUGGGGGUGCAGGAAGCAGACCGAGCGAUAGAGGACCCAGGCUCAUUAUGGCUCUGCAGGAAAUAGCAUGGGUCCAGGGACUAAUGUGGAAAAGGAAAGCAUCUGGAGAUGGAGUCAAGAGAGAUGGUUUCUAACCACCAAUAAGCAUUUGACAAGGAAAGCCCCAUAACCUCCCUACUCAGCCUACCCUGUAAGGAUUCUGUGAGAGGCACCUGUAUUCACGGACUCUGUAAAGCUCUAGGGAAUCCUCAGGAGAAGCCUAUCUUACUGGCAUGUGAGAAUCCUCCAAGAUCUCACCAGCCCCACCAGCUUGAGAGUGGCCUAGAAGGACCUUCUGCCUCUGUCCUCCCAAAGUGACUCCUAUUAAAGGCAAAAUGUGUCCGAGUCAGCCCAUCUUAAAUGGCUGACUAGUGAAAUUUAUUUCUGCAUGCAACAGAAUACCUUUUUUUUUCCUCCCUUCUGCCUGGGUCUAUGACUUGGUUGUGCUCAGCAGAAGGAAGGUAGGAAAGGCACAUUUUGAAAGUGUAGCGAGCAUUUGAGCAGACUGAAUUCAAUUUUGGAUACAAAUGUCAAGGAAAGAUUCUCUUGGCUCUGAGCUCCUUGCUCACUGAGGCGCAGUGUGAUGCUCCAUUGAAAGACCUGCUGAUCUGGCCAGUGCUGGGCUGAUGAUAAUAAAGGGGGAGCGAGGGGCAGACCACUGAGCAGGAGGAGGAAUGACCUUCCAGAGGAUGUGUUGGAAAGACUCUGCCAGGCUCUCCUGCACACACUGGACAGAGGGCAAGAACCUGGAGAUCUGCUUCAGUCCCAGCUGUGCCAUGAAUAUGCUGUGCAUAUAGCCCCUUCCCUCAGCUUAGGCUUGAUUUUCCUGGCCCAUAAAAUGAAAGAACUGGAACAGAUAAUCUCUAAGGCUUUUUCUUUCCAAUAUUUUAUGAUUCUGGCAUUUAAAGCAUCUGCAGGUGCCGGAGAGGAAUGCCAGCAAAGAGUGUAUGAGAAAAAUUGGCAUAACUAUUGGGAGGGUAAUUUGAUAUUAGCUUUCAAAUUUUUUAUUAUUUCGUUUAAUUUUUUUGGGGGGGACAGCAUCUUGCCCUGCCACCCAGGCUAGUGUGCAGUGGCAUGAUCAUGGUUCACUGCAGCCUCUAUCUCUGAGGCUCAAGUGAUCCUCCCACCUCAGCCUCCCAAGUAGCUGGCACUACAAGCAUAUGCCACCAGGCCUGGCUAGUUUUUUUUUUUUUUUUUUUUUUGAGACAGAGUCUCACUCUGUCACCCAGGCUGGAGUGCAGUGGCUGAUCUCGGCUCACUGCAAGCUCUGCUUCCCAGGUUCACACCAUU